Molecule: ribosomal RNA, 207 nt
Filed under: uncultured bacterium
Lineage: Bacteria
Description: partial 16S ribosomal RNA
Rfam family: Bacterial small subunit ribosomal RNA
Source: RNAcentral
UGCGUAGACGGGAAAAUAAGUUAGUUGUGAAAUCCCUCGGCUUAACUGAGGAACUGCAACUAAAACUGUUUUUCUUGAGUGCUGGAGAGGAAAGUGGAAUUCCUAGUGUAGCGGUGAAAUGCGUAGAUAUUAGGAGGAACACCAGUGGCGAAGGCGACUUUCUGGACAGUAACUGACGUUGAGGCACGAAAGUGUGGGGAGCAAACA